This 440-nucleotide ribosomal RNA is filed under the name uncultured bacterium. RNAcentral's name for it is "partial 16S ribosomal RNA". It matches the Rfam family "Bacterial small subunit ribosomal RNA", at positions 338 to 795 of the family's 1533-position model. The record is from RNAcentral.
CCUACGGGGUGCAGCAGUGGGGGAUAUUGCACAAUGGGGGGAACCCUGAUGCAGCGACGCCGCGUGGGUGAAGAAGCGCCUCGGCGCGUAAAGCCCUGUCAGCAGGGAAGAAAAUGACGGUACCUGAAGAAGAAGCCCCGGCUAACUACGUGCCAGCAGCCGCGGUAAUACGUAGGGGGCAAGCGUUAUCCGGAUUUACUGGGUGUAAAGGGCGUGUAGCCGGGUUGACAAGUCAGAUGUGAAAUCCUGCGGCUUAACCGCAGAACUGCAUUUGAAACUGUUGAUCUUGAGUACUGGAGAGGCAGACGGAAUUCCUAGUGUAGCGGUGAAAUGCGUAGAUAUUAGGAGGAACACCAGUGGCGAAGGCGGCUUUCUGGACUGAAACUGACGCUGAGGCACGAAAGCGUGGGGAGCGAACAGGAUUAGAUACCCGGGUAGUC